AUGAAGCUGGAAUCGCUAGUAAUCGCGAAUCAGAAUGUCGCGGUGAAUACGUUCCCGGGUCUUGUACACACCGCCCGUCACACCAUGGGAGUCGGAUAUGCCCGAAGCCGGUGACCUAACCGCAAGGAAGGAGCCGUCGAAGGUGGAGCCGAUGACUGGGGUGAAGUCGUAACAAGGUACC
RNAcentral lists this ribosomal RNA (181 nucleotides) under uncultured bacterium. Its description in RNAcentral is "partial 16S ribosomal RNA". It matches the Rfam family "Bacterial small subunit ribosomal RNA", at positions 1320 to 1500 of the family's 1533-position model. The record is from RNAcentral.